GGCGAGUGGCGAACGGGUGAGUAAUGCAUCGGAACGUACCUGGGAGUGGGGGAUAACUAUCCGAAAGGAUAGCUAAUACCGCAUAUUCUGUGCGCAGGAAAGCAGGGGAUCUUCGGACCUUGUGCUCUUGGAGCGGCCGAUGUCAGAUUAGCUAGUUGGUGGGGUAAAGGCCUACCAAGGCGACGAUCUGUAGCGGGUCUGAGAGGAUGAUCCGCCACACUGGAACUGAGACACGGUCCAGACUCCUACGGGAGGCAGCAGUGGGGAAUUUUGGACAAUGGGCGCAAGCCUGAUCCAGCCAUGCCGCGUGAGUGAAGAAGGCCUUCGGGUUGUAAAGCUCUUUCGGCCGGGAAGAAAUCGUACAGGUUAAUACCCUGUGCGGAUGACGGUACCGGCAUAAGAAGCACCGGCUAACUACGUGCCAGCAGCCGCGGUAAUACGUAGGGUGCGAGCGUUAAUCGGAAUUACUGGGCGUAAAGCGUGCGCAGGCGGUUUUUUAA
RNAcentral lists this ribosomal RNA (500 nucleotides) under uncultured bacterium. RNAcentral describes it as "bacterial SSU rRNA". It matches the Rfam family "Bacterial small subunit ribosomal RNA", at positions 90 to 586 of the family's 1533-position model. The record is from RNAcentral.